UCCUCAAAAGGCCAGGGCUUCAGCUCAGUGGGAGAGCAUCUGCUUUCCAAGCAGAAGGUCCUAGGUUCCAGGUAGGGCCAGGAA
Podarcis lilfordi (Lilford's wall lizard) is the source of this 84-nucleotide non-coding RNA. NCBI's taxonomy places the organism in Eukaryota, Metazoa, Chordata, Lepidosauria, Squamata, Lacertidae. The record is from the annotation of a GenBank genome assembly.